This 1014-nucleotide long non-coding RNA is filed under the name Homo sapiens (human). RNAcentral describes it as "HSALNT0402696". Lineage: Eukaryota; Metazoa; Chordata; Mammalia; Primates; Hominidae. The record is from RNAcentral.
AGAACAAACCCACAGACAACAAACCCACAUCAACAAACCCACAACAACAAAUCUACAACAACAAACCCACAGAGAGCAAGCCCACAGGGAACCAGCCAAAUUAUGUCUGCUGUGCAUCUCGGCAGACGAUGCUGCCACCGUCUGUGUAUGAGCAUGUGUGUGUCAGACUUUCCCAUCGUCUCCAAACUUGUUUUCAGAAUAAUGCUUCCAGUGAAAUGAGUCGGCCACAUGAGGUCACAAAGCCCCUACUCUGUUCAGCACCUGGGCUCCUGGUUUGUUAAGGCAAACCCCCAUCUCUGGCUUCUCCUGGAACCUCACCUGGGAAAGAAAGAGGCAGCCCCGGAGCUGGAAGCUGCUUCAGGGCUCACCCGGAACAGCAGACUCAACCUGGACCCAUCCAGGCAUCUCCUGGGAGUUUCACCCAAUUGCUUCUGCCUGGCACCAGCUCAGAGGUUCUGACAGAAUUGGCCUGGGGUGAGACCUGGCAUCCAUGGGAUUUUUACAAGCUUCCAGGUGAUUCUACAGGGAAGCCAAGCCUUCCAGGCCCCGGUGGGAUGAGACUUCCCUGCCCCCACGGUUGAGAGGAGCCAUGGGCUUAUUCUAGCCAAUGAAUGGUGGAUGGACGUGACUCGUGUCUCUUCCAGGCUGGAGCAUUUAAUUGUCCAGGAUGUUGCUGGCCAGCCGGAAGACGAAAAUCACCGCGUAGAUGCCGAUGAUGCAGGAGCCCCAGGAGGGUGCUGGCCUGGGUCUGGUUGGAGGCUUCAUGGGGAGUCCACUUGGCCCCUGAGAAACAGAGAGGUCCGGAUGAGAUCCAGCGUCCUGGGCUGAGGGCUGCCUGGCCACACCAAGGAGAAUGGAGCCCUCAUAUCCGUGAAAACGUGUCGCUGCUCAAAGAGGCCUUCUCUGAGGCAUGAGCAGGAGUGUAACAACAGCUUAGAAGAAAGGUGUCUAAAUUGGGAGCAAAGGUGGCAAUGACGUGGACUUGACACCAAAAAAAAAUUUUUUUAAAGAAAA